GAAACUCCGUGAUGGUUGGAGUAUUUCUGGUCUUCUGGGUAAAGCCUGAUACAAUUGAAUAAACAAAAUCUGAUUGCCUUUGACUGGUUUUUAAGUUUAAUUUCGGGUCGAGGUCACUGAAGAGAAGGUGGAACAGUGAAUUCUUAUACGUCUAUCUGUACAUAUCUGAGUCUAAUCGAAAAGGAAUAGUUUAAGGGGAGAAAAUUCUGUGUUGAUUAAAGCUACAAUUAAAAGGGACAACGGUUCAUUGAUCAACUUGAACUUCUCGUUCGUAUAUAUAUUUAAAUAAAGUUUAUUUUGAAGCAUUUUGCACAACACUGCUCUACACAUCUGCUUACGUAAGUAAAAUAUCCCGCAACGCAAGAUCCGCUUCGAUAUAGUCAUAUAUAUUUAUAUGUACACAUCUUAUACAGAGACCAAGUUCGUUGGAUUAUUAAUGUACAAUAGUGAGAGCUGCCAGUGUGAGUUCUCGGAUCCCUCCCAAGCUCUUGUCGUCACUUGGUUUUAGGCCGGUAUUCAUAGUCAAUUCUUCUUUCAGGGUGUCUCAAGUAAUGUCUUAAGAUGUUAAUACGACUUUGCGAUUGAUUAAUGACAUCUUGAGAUAGUAUACUUAAAUGAUCCUUAAAUAUAAGAUUCGACUAUGAAUACCAGCCUUCGAGUCGCUCGACCGCAAUUUUCUUUUUUCUUUUUUUUUGGUCGCGCCUCUCCUUACAGUGACUGACUAGGUCAGUAUACAUUGUUUUUUUUUCUUUUUUUAAGUCAACGCAGCGAUUUGCAAUAAGAUUCAGCUAUGAAUAAAACGGCGAAUAUCAAAAAAACA
Molecule: long non-coding RNA, 820 nt
Organism: Monomorium pharaonis (pharaoh ant)
Lineage: Eukaryota; Metazoa; Arthropoda; Insecta; Hymenoptera; Formicidae
Exons: 2
Source: RefSeq, a predicted model, not a curated record